AAACUGUAAGCAUUCAGAGUCGCCGCACUUUCCAAAAAACCUACAAGAUGAUCUUCAAAUUGUUUGUCAUUUGCGCACUGCUCGCAUUUGCCUUUGCUGCACCGGUUGCCAAUCCGGAUACGAUCCUGAUCGAUCAACCGUUGAUGAGAUCGAUUGUUGUUGAUGAUCCGUUCGCAUGGAGUUGGGCAUCGCCAUCGCACAUCUUUUUAAUUUAAGAUGACUGCAUUACGAUAGUGUUUUUCAUGCAAUGACUGUCUUUUACCAAAAUAGAUGAUUCACACUCA
Photinus pyralis (common eastern firefly) is the source of this 284-nucleotide long non-coding RNA. RefSeq lists it as uncharacterized. The transcript is spliced from 2 exons. Lineage: Eukaryota; Metazoa; Arthropoda; Insecta; Coleoptera; Lampyridae. The record is from RefSeq and is a predicted model, not a curated record.